Molecule: ribosomal RNA, 1676 nt
Filed under: Salmonella enterica subsp. houtenae serovar 50:z4,z23:-
Lineage: Bacteria; Pseudomonadati; Pseudomonadota; Gammaproteobacteria; Enterobacterales; Enterobacteriaceae
Description: bacterial LSU rRNA
Rfam family: Bacterial large subunit ribosomal RNA
Source: RNAcentral
UGCUGGAGGUAUCAGAAGUGCGAAUGCUGACAUAAGUAACGAUAAAGCGGGUGAAAAGCCCGCUCGCCGGAAGACCAAGGGUUCCUGUCCAACGUUAAUCGGGGCAGGGUGAGUCGACCCCUAAGGCGAGGCCGAAAGGCGUAGUCGAUGGGAAACGGGUUAAUAUUCCCGUACUUGGUGUUACUGCGAAGGGGGGACGGAGAAGGCUAUGUUGGCCGGGCGACGGUUGUCCCGGUUUAAGCGUGUAGGUGUGUGUUCCAGGUAAAUCCGGUUCACUUUAACACUGAGGCGUGAUGACGAGGCACCACGGUGCUGAAGCAACAAAUGCCCUGCUUCCAGGAAAAGCCUCUAAGCCUCAGGUAACAUCAAAUCGUACCCCAAACCGACACAGGUGGUCAGGUAGAGAAUACCAAGGCGCUUGAGAGAACUCGGGUGAAGGAACUAGGCAAAAUGGUGCCGUAACUUCGGGAGAAGGCACGCUGACACGUAGGUGAAGUGGUUUACCCAUGGAGCUGAAGUCAGUCGAAGAUACCAGCUGGCUGCAACUGUUUAUUAAAAACACAGCACUGUGCAAACACGAAAGUGGACGUAUACGGUGUGACGCCUGCCCGGUGCCGGAAGGUUAAUUGAUGGGGUCAGCGCAAGCGAAGCUCCUGAUCGAAGCCCCGGUAAACGGCGGCCGUAACUAUAACGGUCCUAAGGUAGCGAAAUUCCUUGUCGGGUAAGUUCCGACCUGCACGAAUGGCGUAAUGAUGGCCAGGCUGUCUCCACCCGGGACUCAGUGAAAUUGAACUCGCUGUGAAGAUGCAGUGUACCCGCGGCAAGACGGAAAGACCCCGUGAACCUUUACUAUAGCUUGACACUGAACACUGGUCCUUGAUGUGCAGGAUAGGUGGGAGGCUUUGAAGUGUGGACGCCAGUCUGCAUGGAGCCAUCCUUGAAAUACCACCCUUUAAUGGCUGGUGUUCUAACGUGGGCCCGUGAACCGGGUUGCGGACAGUGUCUGGUGGGUAGUUUGACUGGGGCGGUCUCCUCCUAAAGAGUAACGGAGGAGCACGAAGGUUGGCUAAUCCUGGUCGGACAUCAGGAGGUUAGUGCAAUGGCAUAAGCCAGCUUGACUGCGAGCGUGACGGCGCGAGCAGGUGCGAAAGCAGGUCAUAGUGAUCCGGUGGUUCUGAAUGGAAGGGCCAUCGCUCAACGGAUAAAAGGUACUCCGGGGAUAACAGGCUGAUACCGCCCAAGAGUUCAUAUCGACGGCGGUGUUUGGCACCUCGAUGUCGGCUCAUCACAUCCUGGGGCUGAAGUAGGUCCCAAGGGUAUGGCUGUUCGCCAUUUAAAGUGGUACGCGAGCUGGGUUUAGAACGUCGUGAGACAGUUCGGUCCCUAUCUGCCGUGGGCGCUGGAAGAUUGAGGGGGGCUGCUCCUAGUACGAGAGGACCGGAGUGGACGCAUCACUGGUGUUCGGGUUGUCAUGCCAAUGGCACUGCCCGGUAGCUACAUGCGGAAGAGAUAAGUGCUGAAAGCAUCUAAGCACGAAACUUGCCCCGAGAUGAAUCUUCCCUGAGCCUUUAAGGCUCCUGAAGGAACGUUGAAGACGACGACGUUGAUAGGCCGGGUGUGUAAGCGCAGCGAUGCGUUGAGCUAACCGGUACUAAUGAACCGUGAGGCUUAACCUU